AAUCGGUUGUAGAGAAGACGAU
RNAcentral lists this microRNA (22 nucleotides) under Raphanus sativus (radish). RNAcentral's name for it is "rsa-miRn20". Lineage: Eukaryota; Viridiplantae; Streptophyta; Magnoliopsida; Brassicales; Brassicaceae. The record is from RNAcentral.